UGGGGUGCCCUGGGAGAGGUUUCGGGGGGGGCGGUAGAUCAUGAGAGCUUGCUCUCUGGGUGACGAGCGGCGGACGGGUGAGUAAUGUCUGGGAAACUGCCUGAUGGAGGGGGAUAACUACUGGAAACGGUAGCUAAUACCGCAUGACGUCUUCGGACCAAAGUGGGGGACCUUCGGGCCUCACGCCAUCAGAUGUGCCCAGAUGGGAUUAGCUAGUAGGUGGGGUAAUGGCUCACCUAGGCGACGAUCUCUAGCUGGUCUGAGAGGAUGACCAGCCACACUGGAACUGAGACACGGUCCAGACUCCUACGGGAGGCAGCAGUGGGGAAUAUUGCACAAUGGGCGCAAGCCUGAUGCAGCCAUGCCGCGUGUAUGAAGAAGGCCUUCGGGUUGUAAAGUACUUUCAGCGAGGAGGAAGGCAUUAAGGUUAAUAACCUUAGUGAUUGACGUUACUCGCAGAAGAAGCACCGGCUAACUCCGUGCCAGCAGCCGCGGUAAUACGGAGGGUGCAAGCGUUAAUCGGAAUUACUGGGCGUAAAGCGCACGCGGCGGUUUGUUAAGUCAAUGUGAAAUCCCCAGCUUAACUUGGGAACUGCAUUUAAACUGGCCAGCUAGAGUCUUGUAGAGGGGGGGGUAGAAUUCCAGGUGCAGCGGCGAAAUGCUAGAGAUCUGGAGGAAUCCGGUGGCGACGGCGGCCCCCCUGGACAAAGAUGACGUCAGGUGGAAAGCGUGGGGAGCAAACAGGAUUAGAUACCUGGUAGUCCACGCUGUAAACGAUGUCGACUUGGAGGUUGUGCCCUUGAGGCGUGGCUUCCGGAGCUAACGCGUUAAGUCGACCGCCUGGGGAGUACGGCCGCAAGGUUAAAACUCAAAUGAAUUGACGGGGGCCCGCACAAGCGGUGGAGCAUGUGGUUUAAUUCGAUGCAACGCGAAGAACCUUACCUACUCUUGACAUCCAGAGAAUUUGCUAGAGAUAGCUUAGUGCCUUCGGGAACUCUGAGACAGGUGCUGCAUGGCUGUCGUCAGCUCGUGUUGUGAAAUGUUGGGUUAAGUCCCGCAACGAGCGCAACCCUUAUCCUUUGUUGCCAGCACGUAAUGUUGGGAACUCAAAGGAGACUGCCGGUGAUAAACCGGAGGAAGGUGGGGAUGACGUCAAGUCAUCAUGGCCCUUACGAGUAGGGCUACACACGUGCUACAAUGGCAUAUACAAAGAGAAGCGAACUCGCGAGAGCAAGCGGACCUCAUAAAGUAUGUCGUAGUCCGGAUUGGAGUCUGCAACUCGACUCCAUGAAGUCGGAAUCGCUAGUAAUCGUAGAUCAGAAUGCUACGGUGAAUACGUUCCCGGGCCUUGUACACACCCCCCGUCCACACCAUGGGAGCCCCUUCGAAAAGAAUUAGGUAGCUCACCCCUCGGUGACAAGGUCCCCCCCCCAUUUAG
Molecule: ribosomal RNA, 1438 nt
Filed under: Hafnia alvei
Lineage: Bacteria; Pseudomonadati; Pseudomonadota; Gammaproteobacteria; Enterobacterales; Hafniaceae
Description: bacterial SSU rRNA
Rfam family: Bacterial small subunit ribosomal RNA
Source: RNAcentral